UAUGUUCUGUUUCCCAAGGAAACAAUUGCUGGAAGUGUGACUCUUUGGUAUAAAAAUGGUAAAAUUGGAAAGAAGCUCUGAUCAGCCACUUCUCACCUUGAGAGUUGACUUCCUUCAAUCCUCCCUACAUAGUGAUUUCCCAGGUUUCAUUAGACACCAUCUCUGAAUUUAAAUGUGAAAAUAAAAUAACAACUCUGUGACUCUGAAACAGCAUUGGUAUGUAGAUAGGUAACUGUAGUCAGCGAAGUGAUUAUUUUUCACUCAACUAGUUUUCGUGACAGCAUCUAUUAUGUUUUCAGGCACCUGACUAUUGGAAAUUACAAAUAUAGCCUUAUUACAACCCUAUGGUGUAAGCAUUAUUAUACCUGCUCAAGACACUGUAGCGUUAGCAUCUGGUGAAGUCAGAAUUUGACCCAGGCUGUCUUUCUCCAAGUCUACUUGUUUCCAGUUUGCCUGGAACCUUUGUGCUGCUCGCACAUAUCUCCAGCCUUCUGCCUUCUGAGCACAGGGCACAGUGGCACUUCCCUACCAUCCUGUUGUGAAGCAUGGUCAUGCCCUGUGUUUCAGCUGAGGAAAUGGGAGCGAAGAGCCAAUAGCCUUUUGCUUUCUUUUCCUCUGGUGCCACAAAGACCUUCCAGGUGGUAGUGGCUCUGUCAGUCAUGUCCCAGAGUGAAGACAACAUGAAAAAGAAUCCCCAGCACAGCUCAGGAUGGGCGUGGAACAGGAGUGAAAGGGAAUCUGAGCUGUUUAAGGUCACUACUCUCCAGGCAUUGUGUAUUAUCACAGCAUAACCUAAUAUUAUUAAACAUGAUUUAUGACUAAAUGACAGAUAUUUUUUUACAAAGUACAUAAGUGUAUUGAGUCAAAUGCAUGGCACAGGUAAUUAUGCACUGCCAUGCACACGUGUGGGUUGCUUUCUCAGAGUCCAUUCACCUCUUCCGAUAAUGGGGCCUUGACUUCGCACUGGGGUAUUUACCUUCUCAGCCGCCUAAGGGAUGCUGAACUAAGGCUUGGCUCCAGAGAGAAGCCCAGACUAGUUGAAACCAGUCCUCUCUCCCUAACUACAGGGAUGGUUCAGAACUGGGCACAAGCCUAACUUGGCACUAACAGCAAAACCCAGGACUUAAGCAAGAGGUAUGGGGAGAUGCAGGGGAUGAGAGGACCACUUUCUGUGAAACAGUUAUUUGAUAUCAUCUGUGUGUCAGGCAAUUUGCUAAAAGCUUUACAGGCUUUAUUUUAUCAAACCAUCACAUCAGUGCUAUAACACAAAUAUUAUCAGCCUCAUUUUAUAGAUGAGUAAAUGGGAGCUGAGAGAGAAGUUAAAACUCAAGGUCAUUAAAUAAGUAUGUGAUAGAUCAGAGAUUCAAAUUAUAUUUACAUGAUUGCAAAACCCAAAGUCUUUCAAUUACAUUACAUUAUAAAAUAAAUUUUAGUAUUAAGGACAUUUCUAUUUUAGCAAAUAUGGAAAUUCUCUAUUAAUACAUCUUAAACAAAAAAAAAAUGGAAAUAAUCUGUUCAACCCUGCUAGCAAGGGAGUUUGGGAAAUAAAAUUGCCAGGCUUCUAGACACAUUUAUAUAGGAGAGAGCAAAGGAAGGAAGGUGUGGGUGAACAUUAUUCCAUAGGGACGUCACAUAUAUGUGGUGGUUGCCAAAAUGCACCUCCACUGUCUACAGGCUGCUCUCUCUGAUGUCAUUUAUGUAACACAUUUAUGUAACAUCAUGAUGUGUGAUGUUAGUUAAUUCAUUCACAAAGCUAGACCUUUUUUCAAAUCUGCAGUAACUGUAGAAGAAAGAAUACAAAGAAACAAGUUGAGGAAUCCUUGGUCACCACUAUAUCCCCAGCACCUGUCAAAGUGGUAUACAGAUAAGAGACAAUAAAUGUUCAGUAACAAAUAUUUUCUUUUUAGCCAGCAUUUUACCAUUAGUCACCUACUUUGAACCACCAAACAUACCAAUCUCCAUGCUGAUGGGAAUAUAAAUUAUAUGUUCCCUCUGGCAGACAAGCUGGUAAAAUACAUCAAAGCCUUAAGAAUGUAUAUACUCUAUGAUCUGGCACCUGAAUCACUCCAUGAUUCUAGGACCAAGAUAAAUAACAGAAAUAGUGUAUGAGGAUGGCACAUUUAUAAUAUGAAAAA
This 2135-nucleotide long non-coding RNA is filed under the name Canis lupus familiaris (dog). Its description in RNAcentral is "lncRNA (ENSCAFG00845006190.1)". The record is from RNAcentral. Lineage: Eukaryota; Metazoa; Chordata; Mammalia; Carnivora; Canidae.